UUGGCUUGGUGGCUGCCGUGUGCUUAGAGAGAAGGGAGAGGGAGAGCUUGUGAGUUCUAGAGAGAGAGGUGGAGAAGAAGAACAUGAAGGAGAAGAGAAGGAGAAGAAAGAAGAGGCCAAGGCUAGGGAUCCUAAGGUUUGGAUUUUGUUGCAAGAGGAUUGGAGGCUAGUGUUCGAAAUCCCUAGGGCUUGAACAAGUGGUGGCCAUAGUUUGGGUUAUUGUCACUAUUGUCCUUGAGUUCUAGCAAGAGAGGUAAUGGGAACCUUUUUGUCUUGUGGUUAUUGUUUUUAUCUUUGGUUUCUUGUGGUUUGGAGAAUAUUG
This is a long non-coding RNA of Humulus lupulus (European hop), 322 nucleotides long. RefSeq lists it as uncharacterized. The transcript has 3 exons. The record is from RefSeq and is a predicted model, not a curated record. NCBI's taxonomy places the organism in Eukaryota, Viridiplantae, Streptophyta, Magnoliopsida, Rosales, Cannabaceae.